GGAUGCGAUCAUACCAGCACUAAAGCACCGGAUCCUAUCAGAACUCCGAAGUUAAGCGUGCUUGGGCGAGAGUAGUACUAGGAUGGGUGACCUCCUGGGAAGUCCUCGUGUUGCAUCCC
This 119-nucleotide ribosomal RNA is filed under the name Oryza brachyantha (malo sina). Lineage: Eukaryota; Viridiplantae; Streptophyta; Magnoliopsida; Poales; Poaceae. The record is from RNAcentral. RNAcentral also lists the same sequence under 1 other name.